Molecule: long non-coding RNA, 833 nt
Organism: Toxorhynchites rutilus septentrionalis
Lineage: Eukaryota; Metazoa; Arthropoda; Insecta; Diptera; Culicidae
Exons: 4
Source: RefSeq, a predicted model, not a curated record
CUAUACUAUAGGUGGACCGCAAUGUCAAAAUUGCUGUUCGGCCAUUGCUCGUGAAAAAACAAAUUUGUUUACAAAACAUAUCAUAUCUUUUGGUGACAAAUGCAUUCGUCGGCAAAAUAGCUGCUCGCGCUUUACUGUAGAUAUCUACAAUCAGCGGUCGAAUUAAAAACAGUGCAGAAGGAUGUUUUGAGUAUGUUUUAGGUUCUAGCCGCGCAAUCAAUGCUUUUUUUCCAAGCAAGAUGUACUUCUGUUUGGAUCCUAUCGGCGGGGAAAAAAGUACUUACGGCGACGGUGACAAGAAAUAGCGCUGAUUGCGAGAUUACCAGAUCCAGAAGAUCCGGAAGGGCUGUUACAAGUAAUUGGUUUUGCUAGAGCAAAAGGAGGUUGACAAUGAUUGCAACAGGUGAAAUAAACUGUUGGAAUCACGACUAUCGAUCACGCCAGAAGAUCCGGAAAGAGUUGUUGAAAGUAAUUGGUUUUGCUCAAAUGCUAGAGCACAAGGAGGUUGACGAUGAUUGCAACAGGAAAAUAAUCAGUAGCAGCUGGUAUGGCUUCUUCACAUGGUUGUUUCCGCAUCCUUUUACUGCACAAUAAUACGGCAUCUGAAGAAAAUAAGAUAUUCACAAUAUAAUUUUGGCAUGAUAGAGAACCGCGAGAUGAACGAUUAUCUGUGGAGGAGUUGGACAACAGAUUUCUUAGACUUAUAGCACUUUAAUCACACUCACAAGCUCUUCAAAUCCUCACUGUCCCCCAAAACUAUUGAAUAAUAUGUAAUAUAAAUACCUUAUUGCAGCUCUAGUACACUAUUUUUCACGAAUAUAUAUUUGCUUAUU